GAUGAACGCUGGCGGCAGGCUUAACACAUGCAAGUCGAGCGGGGGAAGGUAGCUUGCUACUGGACCUAGCGGCGGACGGGUGAGUAAUGCUUAGGAAUCUGCCUAUUAGUGGGGGACAACAUCUCGAAAGGGAUGCUAAUACCGCAUACGUCCUACGGGAGAAAGCAGGGGAUCUUCGGACCUUGCGCUAAUAGAUGAGCCUAAGUCGGAUUAGCUAGUUGGUGGGGUAAAGGCCUACCAAGGCGACGAUCUGUAGCGGGUCUGAGAGGAUGAUCCGCCACACUGGGACUGAGGCACGGCCCAGACUCCGACGGGAGGCAGCAGUGGGGAAUAUUGGACAAUGGGGGGAACCCUGAUCCAGCCAUGCCGCGUGUGUGAAGAAGGCCUUAUGGUUGUAAAGCACUUUAAGCGAGGAGGAGGCUACUUUAGUUAAUACCUAGAGAUAGUGGACGUUACUCGCAGAAUAAGCACCGGCUAACUCUGUGCCAGCCGCCGCAGUAA
RNAcentral lists this ribosomal RNA (501 nucleotides) under uncultured bacterium. RNAcentral's name for it is "partial 16S ribosomal RNA". It matches the Rfam family "Bacterial small subunit ribosomal RNA", at positions 28 to 523 of the family's 1533-position model. The record is from RNAcentral.